AUUGAACGCUGGCGGCAGGCCUAACACAUGCAAGUCGAACGAGUUGCGGACGGGUGAGUAAUGUCUGGGAAACUGCCUGAUGGAUGGGGCUAACUACUGGAAACGGUAGCUAAUACCGCAUACCAUCGGAUGUGCCCACAUGGGAUUAGCGAGUUGGUGGGGUAACGGGUCCCCUAGGCGACGAUCCCUAGCUGGUCUGAGGGGAUGACAAUCCCAACUGGAACUGAGACACGGUCCAGACGCCUACGGGAGGCAGCAGUGGGGAAUGUUGCACAAUGGGCACAAGCCUGAUGCAGCCAUGGCGGGUGUAUGAAGAAGGCCUUCGGGUUGUAGAGUACUGUCAGCGGAGAGGCGUUACCCGCAGAAGAAGCACCGGCUAACUCCGUGCCAGCGGCCGCGAUAAUAC
This 406-nucleotide ribosomal RNA is filed under the name uncultured bacterium. Its description in RNAcentral is "partial 16S ribosomal RNA". It matches the Rfam family "Bacterial small subunit ribosomal RNA", at positions 30 to 526 of the family's 1533-position model. The record is from RNAcentral.